Molecule: ribosomal RNA, 465 nt
Filed under: Vreelandella stevensii
Lineage: Bacteria; Pseudomonadati; Pseudomonadota; Gammaproteobacteria; Oceanospirillales; Halomonadaceae
Description: partial 16S ribosomal RNA
Rfam family: Bacterial small subunit ribosomal RNA
Source: RNAcentral
CCUACGGGAGGCAGCAGUGGGGAAUAUUGGACAAUGGGGGGAACCCUGAUCCAGCCAUGCCGCGUGUGUGAAGAAGGCCCUCGGGUUGUAAAGCACUUUCAGUGAGGAAGAACGCCUGGUGGUUAAUACCCAUCAGGAAAGACAUCACUCACAGAAGAAGCACCGGCUAACUCCGUGCCAGCAGCCGCGGUAAUACGGAGGGUGCGAGCGUUAAUCGGAAUUACUGGGCGUAAAGCGCGCGUAGGUGGCUUGAUAAGCCGGUUGUGAAAGCCCCGGGCUCAACCUGGGAACGGCAUCCGGAACUGUCAAGCUAGAGUGCAGGAGAGGAAGGUAGAAGUCCCGGUGUAGCGGUGAAAUGCGUAGAGAUCGGGAGGAAUACCAGUGGCGAAGGCGGCCUUCUGGACUGACACUGACACUGAGGUGCGAAAGCGUGGGUAGCAAACAGGAUUAGAUACCCCUGUAGUC